Molecule: ribosomal RNA, 425 nt
Filed under: uncultured bacterium
Lineage: Bacteria
Description: partial 16S ribosomal RNA
Rfam family: Bacterial small subunit ribosomal RNA
Source: RNAcentral
GUGGGGAAUCUUGCGCAAUGGGCGAAAGCCUGACGCAGCCAUGCCGCGUGAAUGAUGAAGGUCUUAGGAUUGUAAAAUUCUUUCACCGGGGACGAUAAUGACGGUACCCGGAGAAGAAGCUCCGGCUAACUUCGUGCCAGCAGCCGCGGUAAUACGAAGGGGGCUAGCGUUGCUCGGAAUUACUGGGCGUCAAGGGCGCGUAGGCGGACGGCGUAGUCAGAGGUGAAAGCCCAGGGCUCAACCUUGGAAUUGCCUUUGAUACUGGCUGUCUUGAGUUUGGGAGAGGAGAGUGGAACUCCGAGUGUAGAGGUGAAAUUCGUAGAUAUUCGAAAGAACACCAGUGGCGAAGGCGACUCACUGGCCCAAUACUGACGCUGAGGCGCGAAAGCGUGGGGAGCAAACAGGAUUAGAUACCCUAGUAGUCC